AGAGACCUUGUAUUUACAACUAAGUGCACUGGUUAAACAGUCGGAAAAUCCCAACAAGCUGUACUGUGAUCAAGCAUGGAUGAAACUCAUUCCUGCACUUUACAGACUCCUACAAGAUCUGAAAAGGAUUGAAGAACUGAAGAAAGAAAUUGCAGAGAACUGUCAUUACGUGGAGUUCCUCAAAUCUGUGCAGCCUCUGUUGAGAGGUGACUCUUGUGACUCCCAGCACAGCAGUGACCAAGAGCUUGAAAAUAGCGACACAUCAUCAAGCGAGGACAUAACCGUAAUCAGCCGUUAAGAACCUUUGCAAAUAAAUGCAUAAUAAAGAUGGUUCAUUUUUGUAUUAGCA
This is a long non-coding RNA of Rhipicephalus microplus (southern cattle tick), 349 nucleotides long. NCBI's taxonomy places the organism in Eukaryota, Metazoa, Arthropoda, Arachnida, Ixodida, Ixodidae. The record is from RefSeq and is a predicted model, not a curated record.